Molecule: RNA transcript, 1409 nt
Organism: Arabidopsis lyrata subsp. lyrata
Lineage: Eukaryota; Viridiplantae; Streptophyta; Magnoliopsida; Brassicales; Brassicaceae
Gene name: protein TIC110, chloroplastic
Exons: 6
Source: RefSeq, a predicted model, not a curated record
ACCGUACAGUGAACAGUACAUCGGUAGGGGUAAAAUGGUCAGAUUUUGGCCAAAAUGUCAAAACUUGAAAGCCCAUUCUCACUUUGCCAAAACUUGAAAUUAAAACUUGGUCAACUGCCAUAACAUGCAAUUUACCCUUUAAUUUAAGUGGUUUGGUAGCCUAAACCGAAUUGAAAGUUUAACCAUGCUUUACCAUUAGUUUAUCAGACCAAAUCAAUCCUCUGUUUAUCUUAAAUUGAACCGGUUCUGACGUUUACCUCUUAACCCAUGACAUUUAACCCCAAUUUAAAGAUGUAAAACCCCUAAUUCUCCUGAAUAAAACACCAUAGACGAACGAAGCUUGAAGGCUAAAACCAUAUACAUAGAAUCUGUUAAUGGAGCGCCACAGAUCCGAAAGCGCGCGAAGACAUUUGUUCUACUUGUAGCGGCAAAUGUUGGGUUACUUAUGCUUAUUUUUCAAGUCGUUUUAUUUUUUUGUAAGUUAUGGAGAUCGGACAUAGUAACCGUAUAGUAUGUUUGAAAUGAUCAAUAAUGUGACAAGUAUGUUUUUUAUCUAUGUGUGAUAAAAAAAAUAUUAACACUAAAGUUUGAAUGUUCGAUAGUAAAUGUCGGCUUAUAGCUCUUUCUACAAUACUAAAACAUGUUCUAUCUUCUUCUUCCCUUGCCUACUUCUAUUCGUACGACUGCUCGGAUCCUUCUCAGCAGAGGGAACCAUGAAUCCUUCACUCGUCACCGCCAUUAACGCUCCAAUUUCACCUUCUCCUCUUCUUUCUCACUUGCUACCUUCUUACUCGCCGUCGUUAUCGACUUUCGUUCCCUCGUAGCUCAGCUGCUUCCUCCGACCAAUUAUCAGCGAAGAAUCUCGGUAUCCAUGGGAAUAAGAAGGAGCUCACUGGAUUGUGGAGAAAAUGACGCCGCCGAUUGGCCGCAGGAUUUUUAGGCAAAGGCUUGAGACUGGGGAACGUGAAGGUGAUGCAGAACAGCGUCGGGCAUUUAUGAGGCUUGUAUAUGUUUCAGCUCUUGUGUUUGGAGAUGCUUCAUCCUUCCUUUUGCCUUGGAAGCGAGUAUUGAAGGUCACAGAUGCCCAGGUUGAGAUUGCUAUUCGUGAAAAUGCAAAGCAGCUGUAUGCCCAACGGUUAAAAAUUAAAAUUAGUUGGUAGAGCUAUUAACGUAGAAAACCUAGUGGACCUUAAAAAAGCACAACUAUCAUUCAAGCUUUCUGAUGAGCUUGCUGAAGACCUGUUUAGAGAGCAUACGAGAAGAGUAGUCGUAGAGAACAUUUCAUCGGCACUCAGCAUACUAAAAUCCCGCACACUAGCAGCGUAAAUCAUUUUAACAUAUUGCUUACUGAAUCAUGCAUAGAAAAGUCGUAUAGAAUAAUCAUAAUCCAUGUGAAUUAGUUUGGUUUA